GGUUCAGAAGCCAUUUCUAGAAGAGGCAAUAAUAAGGCCAUGCAGAGGACCCCAUCCAGAAACUCCCAUUCAAGUAGUCACGGUACUGCAAACUGUUACAGG
Molecule: non-coding RNA, 102 nt
Organism: Pteropus alecto (black flying fox)
Lineage: Eukaryota; Metazoa; Chordata; Mammalia; Chiroptera; Pteropodidae
Source: Rfam